AAGACUAUACUUUCAGGGAUCAUUUCUUUAGUUCUUGACUUGAGAAAUGUGUUUCUAAAGAGUUUGGUCUUACUGCCCACGAUGAAGCGAUCAGAAGUUUACUUCAGAGCAGGAAACUAGUGGCAAGACUUUGUUUCUUCUCCACUGUUGAUGAUUGUUUGGUGUUUCUGAAUGGAACUCUGAUCGAGGAAACAUAAUCUCAGUGGA
Small nucleolar RNA from Dicentrarchus labrax (European seabass), 207 nucleotides. Its record names the gene U3. It matches the Rfam family "Small nucleolar RNA U3". Rfam says of the family: Small nucleolar RNAs (snoRNAs) are involved in the processing and modification of rRNA in the nucleolus. There are two main classes of snoRNAs: the box C/D class, and the box H/ACA class. U3 snoRNA is a member of the box C/D class. NCBI's taxonomy places the organism in Eukaryota, Metazoa, Chordata, Actinopteri, Moronidae. The record is from Ensembl.